Molecule: ribosomal RNA, 465 nt
Filed under: uncultured bacterium
Lineage: Bacteria
Description: partial 16S ribosomal RNA
Rfam family: Bacterial small subunit ribosomal RNA
Source: RNAcentral
AAUGAACGUUGGCGGCGUGGAUUAGGCAUGCAAGUCGAGCGAGAACCCCGCAAGGGGGGUCAGCGGCGGAAGGGACAGUAAUGUGUAGAUUAUCUGCCCUCCGGUCCGGGAUAGCUGCGGGAAACUGCAGGUAAUACCGGAUAACAUCUCCGGAUCAAAGGUGUGAUUCCGCCUGAGGCUGAGUCUGCAUCCUAUUAGCUAGGUGGUGGGGUAAUGGCCUACCAAGGCAUUGAUGGGUAGCAGGCGUGAGAGCACGACCUGCGUCAUUGGGACUGAGACACUGCCAAGACACCCAGGGGUGGCAGCAGUCGAGAUUAGUCAGCAAGGGGCUCAAGCCUGGCUGGGCGAGGCCGCGGGUGGGAUGAAGCCCGUCGGGUUGUAAACCACUGUCAGAGGGGAUGAAAUGCAGGUGGGUGCACCAAUCUGUUUGACAUAGCAGCAGAGGAAGGACCGGCUAAGUUCGUG